RNAcentral lists this long non-coding RNA (418 nucleotides) under Mus spicilegus (steppe mouse). RNAcentral's name for it is "lncRNA (ENSMSIG00000024699.1)". Lineage: Eukaryota; Metazoa; Chordata; Mammalia; Rodentia; Muridae. The record is from RNAcentral.
ACAGGACUACUUAAUCCUUAGAGGAUGUACAGCCGAACAAGGUGACUAGCCAUCGGCCAGGAGAGCUUAUUAAAAGAUUUCAUUUCUUGGGCAUCCAGGGAAGAGUCAAAACAAAAACUAAUGUUACCUUGCAAAAGAUGACAAAGCUUUUGAAAGUCAAAAUUCCCAAGCCAGUGACCAUUGGAGAAGCCUGGCCAGCAUUUUGUUGAAUAUUGUGUCCUGAGUCUCUAACCUGCUACCCUCUGAACUGAGACCUCAAGUGCCGGCCCUGAAAAGGAAGAAAAAGGAUGACUUGGAAGCAGGGCUGCGGAGAAGCACCUCAGCAGGCAGAGGCCAGGUUUUGAUCGCAUGCUGCUCUGUGUCCUGGGGCCUUUGCAAACCAACCCAGCACUACAGAAAAACAAGUCCAGCAAUGAAA